UCCGGCGACUAUAGCGAAGGGGAUACACCCGACCCCAUUCCGAACUCGGAAGUUAAGCCCUUCUGCGCUGAUGGUACUGCAUGGGCGACUGUGUGGGAGAGUAGGUCGUUGCCGGGA
RNAcentral lists this ribosomal RNA (117 nucleotides) under bacterium. The record is from RNAcentral.